This 2234-nucleotide long non-coding RNA is filed under the name Lynx pardinus (Iberian lynx). Lineage: Eukaryota; Metazoa; Chordata; Mammalia; Carnivora; Felidae. The record is from RNAcentral.
AAAUUAUAGAUGGGAUUAAAGCUUGUGUAUCGUCCAUUAUCAUGUGUAAUCAAUAAACGAUUUAAUAUUCUCUUGAAUGGAAUGACAACUGUAUGGAUUUGGGACUGGCAGAGCUUUGGACUUUCCCUACCCACUACCCCUCAUAAUGUUGAAUGCUUCUAUCACGAUUCAAGUUCAAAACUCUGCCAGAGAAUAGAAACCAGCUGCUGGCUAAUGCCACCCCAUAAGUCCACAGAUUAGAAGUGUUUGGGAGACCUUUUUAAACUGACCAGCACCAGUAAGAAUAUCUUCUUUUUAAUACAAAAACAGGCUUACAUUAAAGGAAAACAGCAGUUUUGUGGUUGGGUGGGUCCUUAAUAGAGGUCUAUAGAUUAACUGUACUAAUUACUGAUUUGGACAUUAAAAUUGCGGAGAUGGGGAGGCAACUUACUAUGUUCACGCUAACUGCAGUUUUCCUUUAAAUAUGGUACAUCACACAACCAUCCUAAAAUGUUAAUUGUAUAGAAAAUGAUUUCUGAAGCCUUUUUACACUUAAUAUCCAAUCAUUGUUAUUUGUUACAUAGGUUCUUUUGAGCCCUCCCUUUGGUACCCUCAAUUUCAGUGCCAUUGUAUCUGGUAGCAUAGAGAAUUGUUUAUCACUAGGACUGUGUAUUCCCUCCCAAUUUCGUGGGUGUGUUACUUGGAAGUUUGGGGAGGAGGGCGGAGGGGGGAGCGGGUGGGAGGUGGGUGGGAAAGCAUGGGUGAUAGUUCCGUGAGUUUGAUAUUGGCUGAGUUUGCAAUGGCAGGUGGAACCUUAACUAUUGAGGGAGUUUGCAGAUACCUCAGGAUUCGUGACAAUGCCUUUAAAGAUCCAGGAGAGAUGUUCAGCUACUAGGAACUGCUAGCAAGCAUAGCGCGAAUGGCUCCGAGCUCAGACACUCUACAGCUGAGAGUAGACACUUGUGGUAUGUGGAGUACAGAUAAGCCAGGGGCAGGCCACGGCACGCUCCAUGAAAGCUAGGAGGGAGUGAAGUUUCAGUGACCAUCGCGAGAAAGGAGGCAGACAAGAGUAAGGCACACCUGACUCUUAGGACUAGCAGUCAGAACCAGGAGAAAAGGUUUUAUUGCUAUGCUGGUAGGUAAGAACAGAUUUUACUUCCAUCCAUAUAGUGUUCUCUAAAAUCCAGUUUUCUGUUAACAUUAAUCCUUCAUAUAUUGAGCCAAAACUAGUCCAGUUAAGCUGAACUUGGUUUUUCUGGAGAUGAAUUUUCUUAAAUUGACACCCUAGAUUUGGUGGCUCCCAAAUGAAGGAAGUAAACACUUUAAUUCUGUGACAAUAUAUUUUUGCCCUUUAAUUUUAUUUCCUACCUUCCUUUGACCCAUUUCCUUAAAACGAUGGCUCAAAGUAAUGUGUUAGAAUCUUCCCAAAAGUCUGGGGGGAGGGAGGGUGGACCCUUUUGGGGAGGGGGAGGUGGGGGGUUUACCCUGAGCUGGGACUUGGUCUCCCAAAAAGCUAGUUCUAAAGGUUGUUUACUUUUCUAGGGAGGAGUCUGCUACUCCAGGCUAAUCAACUCUCUUUAAAAAUAUAAAACAAAACAAACUCAUCUGUCCAAAUUUAUGGCUAAAAGGUAAGCUGUUUACAAACUUAACAGGCGCCAAGAGUGCUUGGUAUUGCCAGAAAUAGACCGUGACGAGCUGUACCUGAGAACAAAACCUUUCAUAGUCUGGUCUAGUAAAAGGCCAUAGCCAGCAAAAAGUGAUUAAAGCAGCUGGGUUCCCAGUCAACAGAACAGUAUAAUUGUAGAAUCUUCCAAGUGCUUAUGCAAAUGCCUCAUAACUUUUUUUUUUUUUUUUGGCAGGAACAUCCUUAUGAGGACAACCUUUAUCUGAGCCACUGCACUUCAUUUUCACUACCAUGUAGUUGUUAGCUGUUCUGCAGCUUGAAUUAAUCAUUCAGUUUUAUGAAUGGACUUUUUAAAUAAAAUUUCUUUUGAUUUCGACUUGGUUCUGUCUUGUUUCGUUCACUUUCAUGAUAUGAUAAAUCAGAAUUUUUAGCAGAGUUGAAGUCUUUCCCCUUUGUUCCUUGCUAAUUCUUACUUGGAUCCUUCUAAAUUUAAAGUAAUGGGGUGCCUGGGUGUUGACUUCAGCUCAGGCCAUGAUCUCACAGUUCGUGAGUUCAAGCUGGGCUCUGUACUGACAGCCUUGGAGCCUGCUUCAGAUUCUGUGUCUCCCUGUCUGCCCCUCCCUUGCUUAUG